AAUAAGCUCAGUUUUCAGUUUUUUUAUAUAAUGUUUUAACUCUUCGUCUUAUUUCGUCUUAUUUGAAAAUUGUUUGUGAUUAAUAUUUUAAUUCUUACUAGAUAAUAAAACAUGAAUAGUCCUUUAUGCGUGACUAAUUUGUUUAAGUUUUUAUAAAUUUUUUUUAAAUAAGACGAAUGGUCAAACGUUGGACACGAAAAAAUAAAGUUAUG
This 212-nucleotide microRNA precursor is filed under the name Oryza brachyantha (malo sina). Its description in RNAcentral is "MIR812 microRNA precursor family". It matches the Rfam family "MIR812 microRNA precursor family". Lineage: Eukaryota; Viridiplantae; Streptophyta; Magnoliopsida; Poales; Poaceae. The record is from Rfam by way of RNAcentral.